CGCAGCAGCGGCGGCAGCAGCAGUUAACGCUGAUGCAACUAUUGCUGCUGUUGCUACCGCCUUCCCACUAACGGGGCUUGCAGCCCGGGGGGACUGGCCGCUUCCAGGGGCAACAAGCAUCUCUCUACCACCCUCCCCUGCGCCCCAGAGAGAGGCUGCCCUAUCAAGUAUGACUUAUAUUAUUCUCAUGUGAAAGAUGAGGAAACAGGGCCCAGUGAGUGAAGUUACUUAACUAAGUCCCCAUGGUUGAUACAGAAGACUGUCAUAUGAACCAGUGAGAGUAACUGAAAUCAAAAAAAAGGCUCCAGCAUCUCGGUAAAAACAUGCCACAAGGGACGAGAAGGAGAAGUUUCAACCAGCAGGCCAAGAGACCAGAGACAAGCCAUGUGUGGACAAGCCUCUGCUUUAGGCCCAGAAGGAAAAGAAAUUCAUAGGAGACAAUGAGUCUCAGACUCUUUCUUGGUUAUGAGCAAGAGUUCCCUGGAUCUAAGAGGAGAAUAUUGAAGAAAAGUCUGCUGGAAAAAAGCAUACGUAAAACUGUAGAAGGGACCAGGAAUCACAGAUCUGUGCAUGUCUGACUUCCAUAAAGGAAGUGCUUUCUGAGAAGAGACAGA
This 614-nucleotide long non-coding RNA is filed under the name Equus asinus (donkey). RNAcentral's name for it is "lncRNA (ENSEASG00005037668.1)". The record is from RNAcentral. Lineage: Eukaryota; Metazoa; Chordata; Mammalia; Perissodactyla; Equidae.